This 289-nucleotide ribosomal RNA is filed under the name uncultured bacterium. RNAcentral describes it as "partial 16S ribosomal RNA". It matches the Rfam family "Bacterial small subunit ribosomal RNA", at positions 773 to 1060 of the family's 1533-position model. The record is from RNAcentral.
GUGGAUUAGAUACCCUAGUAGUCCACGCCCUAAACGAUGUCAACUAGUUGUCGGGACUUAAUUGUCUUGGUAACGCAGCUAACGCGUGAAGUUGACCGCCUGGGGAGUACGGUCGCAAGAUUAAAACUCAAAGGAAUUGACGGGGACCCGCACAAGCGGUGGAUGAUGUGGAUUAAUUCGAUGCAACGCGAAAAACCUUACCUACCCUUGACAUGGCAGGAAUCCUGAAGAGAUUUAGGAGUGCUCGCAAGAGAACCUGCACACAGGUGCUGCACGGCCGUCGCCAGCU